This 468-nucleotide ribosomal RNA is filed under the name uncultured bacterium. RNAcentral describes it as "bacterial SSU rRNA". It matches the Rfam family "Bacterial small subunit ribosomal RNA", at positions 872 to 1342 of the family's 1533-position model. The record is from RNAcentral.
CCUGGGGAGUACGGUCGCAAGAUUAAAACUCAAAGGAAUUGACGGGGGCCCGCACAAGCAGCGGAGCAUGUGGUUUAAUUCGAAGCAACGCGAAGAACCUUACCUAGACUUGACAUCUCCUGCAUUACCCUUAAUCGGGGAAGUUCCUUCGGGAACAGGAAGACAGGUGGUGCAUGGUUGUCGUCAGCUCGUGUCGUGAGAUGUUGGGUUAAGUCCCGCAACGAGCGCAACCCUUAUUGUUAGUUGCUACCAUUUAGUUGAGCACUCUAGCGAGACUGCCCGGGUUAACCGGGAGGAAGGUGGGGAUGACGUCAAAUCAUCAUGCCCCUUAUGUCUAGGGCUACACACGUGCUACAAUGGCAAGUACAAAGAGAAGCAAUACCGCGAGGUGGAGCAAAACUCAAAAACUUGUCUCAGUUCGGAUUGUAGGCUGAAACUCGCCUACAUGAAGCUGGAGUUGCUAGUAAU